RNAcentral lists this ribosomal RNA (774 nucleotides) under uncultured Neocallimastigales. RNAcentral describes it as "partial large subunit ribosomal RNA". It matches the Rfam family "Eukaryotic large subunit ribosomal RNA", at positions 24 to 644 of the family's 3401-position model. The record is from RNAcentral. Lineage: Eukaryota; Fungi; Neocallimastigomycota; Neocallimastigomycetes; Neocallimastigales.
UAUGUGAUCGUCUCUCGCAUAUCAAUAAGCGGAGGAAAAGAAACUAACAAGGAUUCCCCUAGUAACGGCGAGUGAAGCGGGAAGAGCUCAAAUUUGAAAUCUUAAAGGGUUUCCCUUUACGAAUUGUAGUUUAAAGAAGUGUUUUCUGUUGAGGUUUUGGUAAAAGUUCUUUGGAAUAGGACAUCAUAGAGGGUGAGAAUCCCGUAUUUGACCUUUACUUUCAACUUUGUGAUACACUUUCAAAGAGUCGGAUUGUUUGGGAAUGCAGUCCAAAAUGGGUGGUAAAUUUCAUCUAAAAGCUAAAUAUUGGCGAGAGACCGAUAGCGAACAAGUACCGUGAGGGAAAGAUGAAAAGAACUUUGAAAAGAGAGUUAAACAGUACGUGAAAUUGUCAAAAGGGAAGCGUUUGACACCAGUGUUGUUUUUCUGAAAAUCAAUUAAAGAACUGUUUAUGCUAAGUUGUUUAGACUUUAUCAGCUAUCUGCUUAGUUUUGAGCUUUUCUUUAAUGCACUUUUCAGUUAACAAGUCAACAUCAAUUUCUUUUGCUGUAAAAAAGCUUGAGGAAGGUGGCUUGAGAUUCGUCUUAAGUGUUUAUAGCCUCUUGCCUAUGCAGUCGGAGAGAUUGAGGUCUGCAGCGUAGAUCCUUCGGGGCUAAAUGCAUUUGUGCUAAGUUAUAACAUUUUAUAGACAACUUGUUGACUAUGAUUUGUCUUGUAGCUUACUCGCUUAUGUUAUUUUACCUACGCUUAGGAUGUUGAAGUCAUCGUAUCGCG